Long non-coding RNA from Hipposideros armiger (great roundleaf bat), 906 nucleotides. RefSeq lists it as uncharacterized. The record is from RefSeq and is a predicted model, not a curated record. NCBI's taxonomy places the organism in Eukaryota, Metazoa, Chordata, Mammalia, Chiroptera, Hipposideridae. The transcript is spliced from 3 exons.
GAGUUAUGCGUCCACAAACGUAGCAGGUGGGCUGGUGGAGUAAAAACCAGAGGCGGUUGGUGGGCCGUGAAAGCCAUGGGCCUAUCAUGGUCUGGGUGGCCCAGAGUUGGGAAGCUGCUGUCAUAACCAUGAUUCCUGCCAUUAUAAUUGCCACUCUCACCCCCAAGCCUGGUGGCCAGACUCUGGAAUGUUCUCUUAGCCUGUGUCUGGCAGACACCCCCAGAGGAAUUUGUGCCUGGGCCACCUCACUUACUCUCCCGGCUUCUAGCUCCUCCUGCUCCCAGAUACUUCUGGCCACCAGAGCUGACCCUGUCCCUCCCAUGGCUUCUCUACAGGGGAACAAACGCCUCAGUGUGAUGUUGGGGGUCUGGACUCUUUGAUCUCAAAUGUCCAGAUCCCAAGUUUAAAUACUGCAUGGGACAUUCUGCCCCCAAAUCCCCCUGUUCCCCAAGCCUCUGCCCCAAUGUCCCCUCUACCCACAAUGCCCUUCUCCAUCACCAUAGUCACCAUUCUGGUCUCCCAGACAACCCUCUCUCAGGUUCCAGUGGCUGAAUGCUCCUCUCAGAGGCCCAAGCAAAGGAAAGGGAGAUCAACCAACUGUGCAGCUGAGGACCCAUGGCAAUGAGCUUUCAAGAAAAUGUAACCCUGGCCAUAGCCGCGUUCACCAUCCUCGCCUCCAUCUACUUCUUCAACAAGGCUCAGCAAUGAGAAGACACAGGACAGCCUAAUCCAAGAGGCCUUGCCUCUGCCCCAGCCAUGACUCUGGCCUGAGACCAAAUAAAUGUGACAGAAUCAGCACAUUCUGCUCCAUCCCUCCACCCUGGCCACUCUGUUUGAGGGUCAGGCCUCUGUCAGAAGGAGGAGGGCCUGACGUCUGGGCCUGAGGGAGGAGGGGGCUGAGGGCCU